GCACUUGUAGGUCAGUGGUAGAAUUAUCACCUUCCAUGAGAUAAACCCAGGUUUGAUUCCUGGCCAAAGCA
RNAcentral lists this transfer RNA (71 nucleotides) under Loxodonta africana (African savanna elephant). It matches the Rfam family "tRNA". Rfam says of the family: Transfer RNA (tRNA) molecules are approximately 80 nucleotides in length. The record is from Rfam by way of RNAcentral. Lineage: Eukaryota; Metazoa; Chordata; Mammalia; Proboscidea; Elephantidae.